CAGUAGCCGCGGUAAUACGAAGGGUGCAAGCGUUAAUCGGAAUUACUGGGCGUAAAGCGUGCGUAGGCGGUGAGUUAAGUCUGCUGUGAAAUCCCCGGGCUCAACCUGGGAAUGGCAGUGGAUACUGGCUCGCUAGAGUGUGUCAGAGGAUGGUGGAAUUCCCGGUGUAGCGGUGAAGUGCGUAGAGAUCGGGAGGAACAUCAGUGGCGAAGGCGGCCAUCUGGGACAACACUGACGCUGAGGCACGAAAGCGUGGGGAGCAACAGGAUUAGAUACCCCAGUAGUCCCUGUCUCUUAUACA
RNAcentral lists this ribosomal RNA (301 nucleotides) under uncultured bacterium. Its description in RNAcentral is "partial 16S ribosomal RNA". It matches the Rfam family "Bacterial small subunit ribosomal RNA", at positions 509 to 808 of the family's 1533-position model. The record is from RNAcentral.